UUAGAGGAAGUAAAAGUCGUAACAAGGUCUCCGUAGGUGAACCUGCGGAGGGAUCAUUACACAAUAUGAAAGCGGGCUGGCAUCCUUCGGGGUUACAGCCUUGCUGAAUUAUUCACCCGUGUCUUUUGCGUACUUCUUGUUUCCUUGGUGGGUUCGCCCACCAUAGGACAAACCAUAAACCUUUUGUAAUUGCAAUCAGCGUCAGUAAAAAAAUUAAUAAUUACAACUUUUAACAACGGAUCUCUUGGUUCUGGCAUCGAUGAAGAACGCAGCGAAAUGCGAUAAGUAGUGUGAAUUGCAGAAUUCAGUGAAUCAUCGAAUCUUUGAACGCACAUUGCGCCCUUUGGUAUUCCAAAGGGCAUGCCUGUUCGAGCGUCAUUUGUACCCUCAAGCUUUGCUUGGUGUUGGGCGUCUUGUCUCCAGUUCGCUGGAGACUCGCCUUAAAGUAAUUGGCAGCCGGCCUACUGGUUUCGGAGCGCAGCACAAGUCGCGCUCUCUUCCAGCCAAGGUCAGCAUCCACAAAGCCUUUUUUCAACUUUUGACCUCGGAUCAGGUAGGGAUACCCGCUGAACUUAAGCAUAUCA
RNAcentral lists this ribosomal RNA (584 nucleotides) under Pleosporaceae sp. A7-1. Its description in RNAcentral is "eukaryotic LSU rRNA". The stretch from base 225 to 378 matches the Rfam family "5.8S ribosomal RNA". The record is from RNAcentral. Lineage: Eukaryota; Fungi; Ascomycota; Dothideomycetes; Pleosporales; Pleosporaceae.